Molecule: ribosomal RNA, 433 nt
Filed under: uncultured bacterium
Lineage: Bacteria
Description: partial 16S ribosomal RNA
Rfam family: Bacterial small subunit ribosomal RNA
Source: RNAcentral
AACGAACGCUGGCGGCAUGCCUAACACAUGCAAGUCGAACGAGACCUUCGGGUCUAGUGGCGCACGGGUGCGUAACGCGUGGGAACCUGCCCUUAGGUUCGGAAUAACUCCCCGAAAGGGGUGCUAAUACCGGAUAAUGUCUUCGGACCAAAGAUUUAUCGCCUUUGGAUGGGCCCGCGUUGGAUUAGCUAGUUGGUAGGGUAAAAGCCUACCAAGGCGACGAUCCAUAGCUGGUCUGAGAGGAUGAUCAGCCACACUGGGACUGAGACACGGCCCAGACUCCUACGGGAGGAAGCAGUGGGGAAUAUUGGACAAUGGGCGAAAGACUGAUCCAGCAAUGCCGCGUGAGUGAUGGAGGCCUUAGGGUUGUAAAGCUCUUUUACCCGGGAUGAUAAUGACAGUACCGGGAGAAUAAGCUCCGGCUAACUCCGUG